Molecule: long non-coding RNA, 482 nt
Organism: Perca fluviatilis (European perch)
Lineage: Eukaryota; Metazoa; Chordata; Actinopteri; Perciformes; Percidae
Exons: 3
Source: RefSeq, a predicted model, not a curated record
CUUUUAUUUCAGAUGACUCUGGUCCUCAAGCAAGAAAGCAUUCCAGGACGGAGUGUGUGUCUAGAAGCCCUGUCUGUCAGUAGACAUCACUGCCACCACCACCUGCAUAUGAGUCAACACCACACAGAAAACCAGCCGGUCGCCCAGAGCUGGAUGGGUGUAUUCUAACGCAAGCUUGGCCUGCCACUUCAUCUUGGGACCCAGUUGAAGGUACAGUGGCUUUUGCAUAACUUAAAUUAUAACAGAACUGACUUCUCUUACAAAAUGAGAUUGUACAAGCUCUCCACUUUGUUCCAUGUGUAUAAUUUGUGUUUUAUACGUUUUACAGCAACUUUUCCUGACAAACCCGGAGGUUCGACCGGAGGUACUGCCAUCCGUCGCAUGCUACGGCGAGUGGCAACCAAUGAUGUUCUAAAACUGUAUAUCCUGCGGGGCAGAAAAGGAAAGAAGGCCUUCCAGGACCUGACUAUCUGCAGGGUUAU